UUUGUUGUUGUUAUGCUCAUUGCAAUAUGACCAAGAUAUACACUCCCAUAUAUGUGUUGAUCUUGGUCUGUUUCCUCUUAUUUGCAUGUAACACAUGUUCCGGUUUUUUCAGCUAUGUUGCGUCACAUUUGUAUUUUCAGUGACUUCUUGAUGUCAAUAUCAGUCUCAGUUGUGUAGUUACCAUGUCAUUUUUUUUCAUGCCUGUAAUUUGCAAACGGUUAACAUAGGUAGUAGCUGGACGUUGCUAUAACAGAUACCUACAUUUGUUGUUCUAAAAGAUUUUGUAAUCUAUAUAUUGUUUAUUGUCAUUAUUUGCUUCCAUAGAUCCAUCAGAUAUUUGGAUAACUGCUAUAUUGAUCACCUUUAGUCCUUCUACAGGUUAUUCUGAGUACUGAUGUUAGAAUUCUAUUUCUAUGUUCUGGGAAGCUGAUUAUCCUUGCAAACAACUGCUCUCCGCUUAGGAAGUCAAAAUCGAGUACUUUGCUAUGUUAAAGAUUAGCUUGCACCAUUUCCAGGUAAAUGCACCAGGCUGAAGAAGCUCCAACACGUGAAGCACCACCCAGGAGGAAAACAGUAGCUAGUUAGUGUAGAGAGCACGUUAUAUUUUUGAUAUCUGGGAUAUUAUCUGUACAUACGUGAUUUGAUCUGUGGAGAUGUUGUAAUAGACUAUGGAUGUUAUCAAAAGAAUUUCAUAA
Long non-coding RNA from Lolium rigidum, 695 nucleotides. RefSeq lists it as uncharacterized. The record is from RefSeq and is a predicted model, not a curated record. The transcript has 2 exons. NCBI's taxonomy places the organism in Eukaryota, Viridiplantae, Streptophyta, Magnoliopsida, Poales, Poaceae.